This 471-nucleotide ribosomal RNA is filed under the name Halobacillus sp. 1897BAB. RNAcentral's name for it is "bacterial SSU rRNA". It matches the Rfam family "Bacterial small subunit ribosomal RNA", at positions 25 to 471 of the family's 1533-position model. Lineage: Bacteria; Bacillati; Bacillota; Bacilli; Caryophanales; Bacillaceae. The record is from RNAcentral.
CAGGACGAACGCUGGCGGCGUGCCUAAUACAUGCAAGUCGAGCGCGGGAAGCGAGCGGAUCCCUUCGGGGUGAAGCUCGUGGAACGAGCGGCGGACGGGUGAGUAACACGUGGGCAACCUGCCUGUAAGAUCGGAAUAACCCCGGGAAACCGGGGCUAAUGCCGGGUAAUACUUUCUUUCGCAUGAAGGAAAGUUGAAAGAUGGCUUCUUGCUAUCACUUACAGAUGGGCCCGCGGCGCAUUAGCUAGUUGGUGAGGUAACGGCUCACCAAGGCGACGAUGCGUAGCCGACCUGAGAGGGUGAUCGGCCACACUGGGACUGAGACACGGCCCAGACUCCUACGGGAGGCAGCAGUAGGGAAUCUUCCGCAAUGGACGAAAGUCUGACGGAGCAACGCCGCGUGAACGAUGAAGGUCUUCGGAUCGUAAAGUUCUGUUGUUAGGGAAGAACAAGUACCGUGCGAAUAGAGCG